Molecule: ribosomal RNA, 2250 nt
Filed under: Campylobacter coli
Lineage: Bacteria; Pseudomonadati; Campylobacterota; Epsilonproteobacteria; Campylobacterales; Campylobacteraceae
Description: partial 23S ribosomal RNA
Rfam family: Bacterial large subunit ribosomal RNA
Source: RNAcentral
AAAAAAGGUAAGCUACUAAGAGCGAAUGGUGGAUGCCUUGACUGGUAAAGGCGAUGAAGGACGUACUAGACUGCGAUAAGCUACGGGGAGCUGUCAAGAAGCUUUGAUCCGUAGAUUUCCGAAUGGGGCAACCCAAUGUAUAGAGAUAUACAUUACCUAUAUAGGAGCGAACGAGGGGAAUUGAAACAUCUUAGUACCCUCAGGAAAAGAAAUCAAUAGAGAUUGCGUCAGUAGCGGCGAGCGAAAGCGCAAGAGGGCAAACCCAGUGCUUGCACUGGGGGUUGUAGGACUGCAAUGUGCAAGAGGUGAGUUUAGCAGAACAUUCUGGAAAGUAUAGCCAUAGAGGGUGAUAGUCCCGUAUGCGAAAAACAAACCUUAGCUAGCAGUAUCCUGAGUAGGGCGGGACACGAGAAAUCCUGUCUGAAGCUGGGUCGACCACGAUCCAACCCUAAAUACUAAUACCAGAUCGAUAGUGCACAAGUACCGUGAGGGAAAGGUGAAAAGAACUGAGGUGAUCAGAGUGAAAUAGAACCUGAAACCAUUUGCUUACAAUCAUUCAGAGCCCUAUGUAGCAAUACAGGGUGAUGGACUGCCUUUUGCAUAAUGAGCCUGCGAGUUGUGGUGUCUGGCAAGGUUAAGCAAACGCGAAGCCGUAGCGAAAGCGAGUCUGAAUAGGGCGCUUAGUCAGAUGCUGCAGACCCGAAACGAAGUGAUCUAUCCAUGAGCAAGUUGAAGCUAGUGUAAGAACUAGUGGAGGACUGAACCCAUAGGCGUUGAAAAGCCCCGGGAUGACUUGUGGAUAGGGGUGAAAGGCCAAUCAAACUUCGUGAUAGCUGGUUCUCUCCGAAAUAUAUUUAGGUAUAGCGUUGUGUCGUAAUAUAAGGGGGUAGAGCACUGAAUGGGCUAGGGCAUACACCAAUGUACCAAACCCUAUCAAACUCCGAAUACCUUAUAUGUAAUCACAGCAGUCAGGCGGCGAGUGAUAAAAUCCGUCGUCAAGAGGGAAACAACCCAGACUACCAGCUAAGGUCCCUAAAUCUUACUUAAGUGGAAAACGAUGUGAAGUUACUUAAACAACCAGGAGGUUGGCUUAGAAGCAGCCAUCCUUUAAAGAAAGCGUAAUAGCUCACUGGUCUAGUGAUUUUGCGCGGAAAAUAUAACGGGGCUAAAGUAAGUACCGAAGCUGUAGACUUGCGCACAACUUAGAUUAUUUAAGUUUAGAAUAUGAGAAACUAAGUUAUAUGUUUAGUUAUAUUUUUACUGAUUUUUAUAGAGUAAAGAUAGAAAUAAAACUUAGUAAAAUCAGUAAAAAUAUUCUUAGAUUAAAGUUAAGUAGUUUAAGUUGUGUGCAAGUGGUAGGAGAGCGUUCUAUUUGCGUCGAAGGUAUACCGGUAAGGAGUGCUGGAGCGAAUAGAAGUGAGCAUGCAGGCAUGAGUAGCGAUAAUUAAUGUGAGAAUCAUUAACGCCGUAAACCCAAGGUUUCCUACGCGAUGCUCGUCAUCGUAGGGUUAGUCGGGUCCUAAGUCGAGUCCGAAAGGGGUAGACGAUGGCAAAUUGGUUAAUAUUCCAAUACCAACAUUAGUGUGCGAUGGAAGGACGCUUAGGGCUAAGGGGGCUAGCGGAUGGAAGUGCUAGUCUAAGGUCGUAGGAGGUUAUACAGGCAAAUCCGUAUAACAAUACUCCGAGAACUGAAAGGCUUUUUGAAGUCUUCGGAUGGAUAGAAGAACCCCUGAUGCCAUCGAGCCAAGAAAAGUUUCUAAGUUUAGCUAAUGUUGCCCGUACCGUAAACCGACACAGGUGGGUGGGAUGAGUAUUCUAAGGCGCGUGGAAGAACUCUCUUUAAGGAACUCUGCAAAAUAGCACCGUAUCUUCGGUAUAAGGUGUGGUUAGCUUUGUAUUAGGAUUUACUCCGAAAGCAAGGAAACUUACAACAAAGAGUCCCUCCCGACUGUUUACCAAAAACACAGCACUCUGCUAACUCGUAAGAGGAUGUAUAGGGUGUGACGCCUGCCCGGUGCUCGAAGGUUAAUUGAUGGGGUUAGCAUUAGCGAAGCUCUUGAUCGAAGCCCGAGUAAACGGCGGCCGUAACUAUAACGGUCCUAAGGUAGCGAAAUUCCUUGUCGGUUAAAUACCGACCUGCAUGAAUGGCGUAACGAGAUGGGAGCUGUCUCAAAGAGGGAUCCAGUGAAAUUGUAGUGGAGGUGAAAAUUCCUCCUACCCGCGGCAAGACGGAAAGACCCCGUGGACCUU